Molecule: ribosomal RNA, 425 nt
Filed under: uncultured bacterium
Lineage: Bacteria
Description: bacterial SSU rRNA
Rfam family: Bacterial small subunit ribosomal RNA
Source: RNAcentral
GAAUAUUGGACAAUGGGCGAAAGCCUGAUCCAGCGACGCCGCGUGGGUGGAGAAGGCCUGCGGGUUGUAAAGCCCUUUCGGUGGGGAAGAAAAGCCUCGACCUAAUACGUCGGGGUCUUGACGUAACCCACAAAAGAAGCACCGGCUAACUCUGGGCCAGCAGCCGCGGUAAUACGGAGGGUGCAAGCGUUAAUCGGAAUUACUGGGCGUAAAGCGCGCGUAGGUGGCUUGAUAAGCCGGUUGUGAAAGCCCCGGGCUCAACCUGGGAACGGCAUCCGGAACUGUCAGGCUAGAGUGCAGGAGAGGAAGGUAGAAUUCCCGGUGUAGCGGUGAAAUGCGUAGAGAUCGGGAGGAAUACCAGUGGCGAAGGCGGCCUUCUGGACUGACACUGACACUGAGGUGCGAAAGCGUGGGUAGCAAACAGG